UACGGAGGGGGCUAGCGUUGUUCGGAAUUACUGGGCGUAAAGCGCGCGUAGGCGGCUUUGUAAGUUAGAGGUGAAAGCCUGGAGCUCAACUCCAGAAUUGCCUUUAAGACUGCAUCGCUUGAAUCCAGGAGAGGUGAGUGGAAUUCCGAGUGUAGAGGUGAAAUUCGUAGAUAUUCGGAAGAACACCAGUGGCGAAGGCGGCUCACUGGACUGGUAUUGACGCUGAGGUGCGAAAGCGUGGGGAGCAAACAGG
RNAcentral lists this ribosomal RNA (253 nucleotides) under uncultured bacterium. RNAcentral's name for it is "partial 16S ribosomal RNA". It matches the Rfam family "Bacterial small subunit ribosomal RNA", at positions 524 to 776 of the family's 1533-position model. The record is from RNAcentral.